RNAcentral lists this ribosomal RNA (47 nucleotides) under uncultured Cortinarius. RNAcentral's name for it is "partial 28S ribosomal RNA". Lineage: Eukaryota; Fungi; Basidiomycota; Agaricomycetes; Agaricales; Cortinariaceae. The record is from RNAcentral.
UCAAAUCAGGUAGGACUACCCGCUGAACUUAAGCAUAUCAAUAAGCG